Molecule: ribosomal RNA, 207 nt
Filed under: uncultured bacterium
Lineage: Bacteria
Description: partial 16S ribosomal RNA
Rfam family: Bacterial small subunit ribosomal RNA
Source: RNAcentral
UACGUAGGGGGCUAGCGUUGUCCGGAUUUAUUGGGCGUAAAGAGCGUGUAGGCGGCCAGGUAGGUCUGCUGUGAAAACGUCGAGGCUCAACCUCGAGAUGUCGGCGGAAACCAUCUGGCUAGAGUCCGGAAGAGGAAAGUGGAAUUCCUGGUGUAGCGGUGAAAUGCGCAGAUAUCAGGAGGAACACCGGUGGCGAAGGCGGGUCUC